UUCGUCUAAACCAAACAGUUA
Caenorhabditis elegans is the source of this 21-nucleotide non-coding RNA. The record is from Ensembl. Lineage: Eukaryota; Metazoa; Nematoda; Chromadorea; Rhabditida; Rhabditidae.